This 253-nucleotide ribosomal RNA is filed under the name uncultured bacterium. Its description in RNAcentral is "partial 16S ribosomal RNA". It matches the Rfam family "Bacterial small subunit ribosomal RNA", at positions 524 to 776 of the family's 1533-position model. The record is from RNAcentral.
UACGGAGGGUGCGAGCGUUGUCCGGAAUCACUGGGCGUAAAGGGCGCGUAGGCGGCCUGAUAAGUAGGGGGUGAAAUCCUGCGGCUUAACCGCAGGGCUGCCUUCUAAACUGUCAGGCUAGAGCACAGUAGAGGCAGGUGGAAUUCCCGGUGUAGCGGUGGAAUGCGUAGAGAUCGGGAAGAACAUCAGUGGCGAAGGCGGCCUGCUGGGCUGUUGCUGACGCUGAGGCGCGAAAGCUAGGGGAGCGAACAGG